UGAGGAAUAUUGGGCAAUGGGCGAAAGCCUGACCCAGCAACGCCGCGUGAGGGAAGAAGGUCUUCGGAUCGUAAACCUCUGUCAGGAGGGACGAUGGGCACUGAUGCUAAUACCAUAGGUGCUUGACGGUACCUCCAGAGGAAGCCCCGGCUAACUCCGUGCCAGCAGCCGCGGUAAUACGGAGGGGGCAAGCGUUGCUCGGAUUUGCUGGGGGUAAGGGUCCGGUGGCGGGGUUGUAAGUUUGAUGGG
RNAcentral lists this ribosomal RNA (249 nucleotides) under uncultured organism. RNAcentral's name for it is "partial 16S ribosomal RNA". It matches the Rfam family "Bacterial small subunit ribosomal RNA", at positions 355 to 596 of the family's 1533-position model. The record is from RNAcentral.